AAGGCCUUCGGUUGUAAGCUCUUUGUCGGGAACGAAACGGUUCUGGAUAAUACCUGGGACUAAUGACGGUACCUGAAGAAUAAGCACCGGCUAACUACGUGC
RNAcentral lists this ribosomal RNA (102 nucleotides) under uncultured bacterium. RNAcentral describes it as "partial 16S ribosomal RNA". The record is from RNAcentral.